Long non-coding RNA from Pan troglodytes (chimpanzee), 3333 nucleotides. RefSeq lists it as uncharacterized. NCBI's taxonomy places the organism in Eukaryota, Metazoa, Chordata, Mammalia, Primates, Hominidae. The transcript has 2 exons. The record is from RefSeq and is a predicted model, not a curated record.
CAGACAGCAGACAGCUCUCCUUCCCCUAUCCAGCAAAAUGCAACUCGUCUAAUGCAGCAACAGGUUCAGUAUUGCCAGACUAACAGAGUGAAAAAGGAGAAGACGUAUUUGGUUUCUACCAGCAGGAAUCAAAAGGAAUAUAAAGGACCAUGAAGGCUCUUUUCUAAAAAACAACCUGAGAGCUAAAUUUAAAAGGAAAACAAAUCUUUUGGCUUAAGUGAAAAAUGAGACCGGGCACAGUGGCUCACACCGUAAUCCCAGCACUUUGGGAGGCCAAGGCAGGCGGAUCACAAGGUCAGGAGUUCGAGACCAGACUGGCCAACAUGGGGAAACCCCCUCUACUAAAAAUACAAAAAUUAGCUGGGGGUGGUGGUGCAUGCCUCUAGUCCCAGCUGCUCAGGAGGCUCAGGCAGGAGAAUCGCUUGAACCCAGGAGGUGGAGGCUGCAGUGAGCCAAGAUCACACCACUGCACUCUAGCCUCGGCAACAGAGCAAGACUCCAUCUCAAAUUAAAAAAAAAAAAAAGGUGAAGAAGAAGAAGAAGAAUGUAUAACAUCUCAAAACUUUUCCCAUAUCUGUACAUUUUACUAGAUUCAAAGCACAAUAAGUAGUACAUUGUUAGUACUUACUGGAAUUCAAGAUAUACUUUCCCUAGUUGGGACUGGAGACAAUAAGGUCUGAAGAAAUCAUUGUAAUUGACUACCAUACUAUGGAAGUUAUAAAGUUAUUUAAUUAAAUUGCUUCAUGUGUUGAUAUGUCAUGGGGCAAUUUGGUUCUGUAGAAAGAUCCUAAAGUGGAAGUUAAAAACUGGUUCUGUCCCAAAUUGAUCUAUAGAUUCAAUUCAAUCCCAAUCAAAAUCCCAGAAAGUUAUUUUGUGGAUAUGAACUAAAUGAUUCUAAAAUUUAUAUGGAGAGGCAAAAGACUCAAAAUAACCAACAUAAUAUUGAAAGAGAAGAACAAAGUUGGACAAAUGAAACUACCAGACUUCAGGACUUACUAUAAAGCUACAGUAAUCAAGAAUGCAUGAUGCUGGCAAAAGAAUAGACACAGCAGAUCAGUGCAACAAAAUAGACAGCCCAGGAGAAGGCCCACAUAUGUAUAGUCAACUGAUCUUUGACUUAAAAGGAAAAGCAAUACAAUGGAGCAAAGACAGUAUUUCCAACAAGUGGUGACGGAACGACUGGACGUCUACAUGCAAAAAAAUAAAUCCAGACGCAGACUUUACACUCUUCACAUAAAUUAACUCAAAAUGGAUGGAUCAUAAACCUAAAUGUAAAAUGCAAAAUUCUAAGACUCCUAAAUAGGAAAAAAUCUGGAUAAUUCUGGGUUUCACAAUGACUAUUUUAGAUACAACACCAAAGACAUAAUCCAUGAAAGAAAUAAUUGAUAAGCUGGAUUUAAUUCAAAUUAAAAAGUUCUACUCUGCAAAAGACACUGUAAAGGUAAUGAAAAGACAAGCCACAGACUGGAAGAAAAUAUUUGCAAAAGAUAUAUCUCAUAAAGGACUGUUAUCUAAAACAUGCAAAGAAUUCUUAAAACUCAACAGUAAGAAAAUAUUAUAACCUGAUUAAAAAUGGGCAGAAGACUUUAACAGUCACCUCACCAAAGAAGAUAUACAGAUGGCAAAUAAGCGUAUGAAAGGGGCUCCAUAUUAUAUGUCAUUGGGGAAAUGCACAUUAAAAAUAACAACGACAUACCACUACACAUGUAACAGAAUGGCCCAAACUCACAGCACUGACAACACCAAAUGAUGAUGAGGAUGUGGAGCAACAGGAACUCUCAUUCAUUGUUGGUAGGAAUGAAAAAUCGUACAGCCACUUUGGAAGACAGUUUGGCAGUUUCUUACAAAACUAAACACAUAUACAAUCCAGCAAUUGCAGUGGUUGGUAUUUAUGCAAAGGAAUUGAAAACUUAUGCCCACACAAAAACCUACACACAGAUGUUUACAGUAAUUUUAUUCAUAAUUGCCAAUAUUUGGAAGAAAUUAAUAUGCCCAUUAGUAGAUGAAUGGAUAAAUUAUGGUACAUCCAGGCAGUGAAAUAUUAUUUAGUGCUAAAAUGAAAUGAGAUAUCAAGCCAUGAAAAGACAUGUAGGAAACUUAAAUGCAUAUUACUAAGCAAAAGAAGCCAAUCUGAAAAGAUUGCCUUCUAUCCACUGUACGUAUCUAUACACUGUAUGAUUCCAACUAUAUGACAUUCUGAAAAGGCAAAACCAUGGAGACAGCAAAAACUCAUUGUUUGCAAGAGUUUAGGGUAGAGAGAGGGAUGAACAGGAAGAACACAGGAUUUUCAAGGCAGUGAAACUACUUUGUAUAAUACAAUAGUGACAGAUAGAUGUCAUACAUUUGUUCAGACCCACAGAAGGCACAACACCAAGAGUGAACCUUAAUGUAAACUAUGGGCCUGGAGUAAUAAUAAUAUGUCAAAGUUGGCUUAUCAUAUGUAACAAAUAUAUGACUCUGGUGGGGGAUAUUGAUGAUGGGGAGGCUGUGCAUGUGUGAAGGCAGGGGGUAUAUGAGAAAUCUCUGUACCUCCCCAUCAAUUUUACUAUGAAACUAAAAUUACUCAAAAAAAAGUCUAUUAAACAAUAAAUUAAAAGAAAAUUGGUUCUGGUCCCAGCAUUGCCACAAAUAGCUUGCAUACCCUCGUCAAGUCAUGCAACCAUCCUGAGUUUCAGUUUCUUCCUAUGCUAAAAAUAACAAAUUUAAAAGGAUGGAAUUGAACAGCGUAUCAUAAUAAUAGUUAUUAUAGCCAAUGCUUAAGUGCUUACUAUGUGUCUGUUCUAAGUACUUUUUAUUUCUUAACUCUUUAAAGCCUAACAAUUACGCUAUAAUGUAGGAAUUAUUUUUAGUCUCAUUUUCCAGAUGAAGAAAAAGAGAGAUUAAGUGACUUGCCUGAGAUCACAUAGCAUAAUAAUGAUAGGAUUUGAACCCAGCCUGUCUAGCUUAGAGUUUAUGUGUUUAAUCCCUACACUAUACUGUUUUACCCAAUACCUAAAGAUAGUUAAGGCCCCAUCCAGCCAUGACUCUGCGGUUGUGAGUCAAAUCUAGUAAGUCCUGAUGAUUUCUUACCCUAUCUUGCUUACUAACACAGAAUAGUGAAAAUUUGCUGUUCAAUACCCAUAGCUCUCAAUACAUUCAAUUUAAUGGUACCCAGCAACUCCAUCUAAAGUACAUACUCUAUCAUGCAUUCUUAAAGGUUGCAUAGUUCAAGAUUCAAAUAUCUAAUAGUAAUGCAAAUAAUUGUUUAAAGAACUAAAUAAUAAACACAAUAAAAUAUUUCCUAUUUUCUAUAGCCUGAGAAAGGAAUUAAAAAAGCAAGAAUUCAAUUGUAAA